GAUGAACGCUGGCGGCGUGCUUAACACAUGCAAGUCGAACGAAGCACCUCUCCCGAAGAUUGACACAGCUUGCUGUAGAUUGAUUCAUUUGAGGUGACUGAGUGGCGGACGGGUGAGUAACGCGUGGGUAACCUGCCUCAUAGAGGGGGACAACAGUUGGAAACGACUGCUAAUACCGCAUAGUAAGAAGAAUUCGCAUGUUUUCUUCUUGAAGGAUUUAUCGCUAUGAGAUGGACCCGCGUCUGAUUAGCUAGUUGGUAAGGUAACGGCUUACCAAGGCGACGAUCAGUAGCCGGCUUGAGAGAGUGAACGGCCACAUUGGGACUGAGACACGGCCCAAACUCCUACGGGAGGCAGCAGUGGGGAAUAUUGCACAAUGGGGGAAACCCUGAUGCAGCGACGCCGCGUGAGUGAAGAAGUAUUUCGGUAUGUAAAGCUCUAUCAGCAGGGAAGAUAAUGACGGUACCUGACUAAGAAGCCCCGGCUAACUACGU
RNAcentral lists this ribosomal RNA (494 nucleotides) under uncultured bacterium. Its description in RNAcentral is "partial 16S ribosomal RNA". It matches the Rfam family "Bacterial small subunit ribosomal RNA", at positions 28 to 506 of the family's 1533-position model. The record is from RNAcentral.